AGCAAUACCUUGCUGAUACGGAAGUGGAUCCGAAGCCUCUACAACUUAGACUCUCCACCUCCUCCUCCACUCCUACUCAAUACGUCCCCAUCGUACAGAACGGUAAGGCCGCGGGCCACGGAGCAUUCUCAAGCUGAGAAAA
Non-coding RNA from Anopheles gambiae (African malaria mosquito), 142 nucleotides. Lineage: Eukaryota; Metazoa; Arthropoda; Insecta; Diptera; Culicidae. The record is from Rfam.